This 140-nucleotide long non-coding RNA is filed under the name Capra hircus (goat). Its description in RNAcentral is "lncRNA (ENSCHIG00010003459.1)". Lineage: Eukaryota; Metazoa; Chordata; Mammalia; Artiodactyla; Bovidae. The record is from RNAcentral.
UGAGAGACUGCAAUUUCCCACCCCAGACGCUGCAGACCGGCCUUUUUUAUUUUUACGAAGGUGUAACAUAAAAAUUUGGAGUCUCAUUUUAACUUGUAUUUACUGUACUACUACUGAAGUUGAUCAUUUUUCAUAAACUU